Molecule: ribosomal RNA, 562 nt
Filed under: uncultured bacterium
Lineage: Bacteria
Also listed under: 1 other name
Description: bacterial SSU rRNA
Rfam family: Bacterial small subunit ribosomal RNA
Source: RNAcentral
CUCCUGGAAACGGGUGGUAAUGCCGGAUGUUCCACAUGAGCGCAUGCGAGUGUGGGAAAGGCUUUUUGCGGCAUGGGAUGGGGUCGCGUCCUAUCAGCUUGUUGGUGGGGUAACGGCCUACCAAGGCGUUGACGGGUAGCCGGCCUGAGAGGGCGACCGGCCACAUUGGGACUGAGAUACGGCCCAGACUCCUACGGGAGGCAGCAGUGGGGAAUAUUGCACAAUGGGCGCAAGCCUGAUGCAGCGACGCCGCGUGCGGGAUGGAGGCCUUCGGGCUGUAAACCGCUUUUGUUCAAGGGCAAGGCACGGUUUCGGCCGUGUUGAGUGGAUUGUUCGAAUAAGCACCGGCUAACUACGUGCCAGCAGCCGCGGUAAUACGUAGGGUGCAAGCGUUAUCCGGAUUUAUUGGGCGUAAAGGGCUCGUAGGCGGUUCGUCGCGUCCGGUGUGAAAGUCCAUCGCUUAACGGUGGAUCCGCGCCGGGUACGGGCGGGCUUGAGUGCGGUAGGGGAGACUGGAAUUCCCGGUGUAACGGUGGAAUGUGUAGAUAUCGGGAAGAACACC